Molecule: long non-coding RNA, 356 nt
Organism: Apis dorsata (giant honeybee)
Lineage: Eukaryota; Metazoa; Arthropoda; Insecta; Hymenoptera; Apidae
Exons: 3
Source: RefSeq, a predicted model, not a curated record
UAUAUAAGAAGUAUAUAAAUGAUAUAAACAUUAUUAACAUUUAAUAAUAGCUACUAAUCAAUCAUUUUUACACGUACGUAACAUGAUGUGUCACCGUUUACUAUUUAUAUAAAACUCCCGUUCGUGAAUGUUCCUCCUUUCCCCCAAACUUUCCAAAAAAAUCGCCCCUCAUCCGCGUGCAGAACAAUUCUCCUCGCCCCCUCCAUGUCGCCCACUCCGAAUUUUUUUAUUAUUAGUCGGCUGAGGCGAGCCGUUUGCGUCUUCAAUACGGAAUUUCAAAGCAAUAAAAAGUAAAAAAUGAGACUACCUAGGAGUACGCGAGCACGUGUGUGUGAAUGUUUUAUUUAGAAGGCGGG